AACGUAUACGAUGAGGCUUAGAAUAUAAGGAAAUGAAGAAUAGUUUAUGAUUAUGCCACCGAGACGAAAACAAAAACCAGCCGUGGAAGAUCAACCAGAUAAUCGAACGACGAACGCCAAAGACUUUAAGGCAAUCUUAUUGCUAGGGUAUAGAGGAUUAAGUGACUCAGUAGAAGCGUUUAUGAUAGUUAGGAUAACGGAAAGGGCGAAAGAUAACUUUUAUCACCUAUACGAUAAAAGGGAAAUGAGAUAAAGAAAAAGUUUAUGUGCUAUGUGUGUGGGCAGAAGAGACAUAUCUCUUCCAAUUGUCCCAAUUCAAGAAUGUGUAGCGAACGUUUUAUUUGUGAAUCAAUGGAGUAUAAGGUGAAAGAUUAUUAAAGAAGGAGAAGUGAGAUAAGGAAUGCGAAUACGAGAAAUGACAGCAUGAUAUAGGCGACAACGAAACCAAUUUUAACAAACAACCCAACUGCGAGGGUCUACAACAUAACGGUCCAAGAUACGGUGGCAGCUGGAAACAGAACUCCAGGUGCUAUUUGAAUAACUUAUGUGUCUUAUAUGAUUUUCCUGUAUAUAUACAUAUAGUAGAUUACUUUAUUAAAGAAAUUUUGAGGAAGGAAUUUGAGUUCUUUUAGAAAUCAAAUUUCUGUUUAUCAGAUAGACAAGCGUUAUGAAGAAUAAUUAAAGAUCAGUUCGAUAAAGUAUGAU
Molecule: long non-coding RNA, 705 nt
Filed under: Panax ginseng (ginseng)
Lineage: Eukaryota; Viridiplantae; Streptophyta; Magnoliopsida; Apiales; Araliaceae
Description: long non-coding RNA (PGIN_LNC002152)
Source: RNAcentral